AACAUCAGGGGUUUGAACUGCCCCACCCGUCGCUCGGCAAUCCGUGAAGUAGUGCAAGCACAUAGAAUUUCAGUGCUUUGUCUCCAAGAAACAAAAGUAGAAUCAUGGUCAUCUUCGCUGGCAUGUGAGGUAGGAGGCCCAAAUCUUCAGGGCUGCAUUGUGUUGCCGGCAAUAGGUACGAGAGGUGGCGCGGCGAUCUUCUGGGACAAGCUAGUUGUCAACAUCUCUUCGCAUAGAAUAGGCAGAUACGCGAUCACGGCUACACUAGAGCUUCUCUCCAGUAGUGUAGGAUUUUGA
Molecule: ribosomal RNA, 297 nt
Filed under: Triticum aestivum (bread wheat)
Lineage: Eukaryota; Viridiplantae; Streptophyta; Magnoliopsida; Poales; Poaceae
Description: partial small subunit ribosomal RNA
Source: RNAcentral